RNAcentral lists this long non-coding RNA (473 nucleotides) under Drosophila guanche. The record is from RNAcentral. Lineage: Eukaryota; Metazoa; Arthropoda; Insecta; Diptera; Drosophilidae.
AAGAACCUUGAAAUAUGUAUUACGCAUGAAUUCGCUUCUCUGAUUACGUGCCACAAAAUGUCAGUUGCCGCCUGCCGUGCCGUGCCGAGCCGUCUGGUUCUGGUUCUGGUUGUGGUACUUUUCUUCAACCUGUUCUCGACCGCUGUCCACUCUGAAGGUCGCGCCGCGCCGGGUUCUUUAUGGCACACAGCGCAAUGUAAUUUGUUUUAAAGAUGUUUGCACAGCGCCUCGUCUGCAAUUGGAUACCCAGCAAAGAGCAGGGUAUAAUGCGUUAGUUGGCACACUCAGCAUCCGCCAAUGCUGGUCUGGAAUAAAUGUCGAAUAUCUCAUACAGAUCCCAGCCAGAGUAUGAAGGGAUCGGCUCUCCUCCACCCGAGUUGCAGUUGCGCGUUGAUUUGGCUGUUGCGUAAGCAGCUAGAGCCGCCUUUGGCAUGGUCUUCGGUCUGGUCUGGUCUGGCCUGGUCUGGCCUGGC